Phalacrocorax carbo (great cormorant) is the source of this 3697-nucleotide non-coding RNA. The record is from RefSeq and is a predicted model, not a curated record. NCBI's taxonomy places the organism in Eukaryota, Metazoa, Chordata, Aves, Suliformes, Phalacrocoracidae.
UGCUCUGACCUGCCAAUGGGCCGCCUCCGGCUCUGUGCACAGAGCAAAGUCAUGGAUGCCAACUGCCCCAGAGGGCAAAGACCCCGUGCCUCGCCUCUUAGGCACUGCAGCAGAAUUGGCUUUUCUUUCACAGUUCCCAGGAGCCUUCCCCAAUUUGCUGUCUGAAGAGAAAUUACACAAGCCUUUAUCUCAUCUGCUUAUUUUUGCCUAAAACCUCAAUUGCACCUGGGAGGUUUUUUCCCCCUUUAUCUCCUAGAGACUUUGAUGCGCCUGGCCCCUUGUUCUUAGGACACCACCUUGAUCACAGAGCACCUUACAGAUAAUUCUGGUUGUGUUGUUUCAAGGCAUUUCCUCUUUCUCUCUCUUUGUGGUAAACAUUGGUAGAGCUCUGCUGAAACACUGGCUGAACCUCUAGCCUGGUAUGAGUUUUUGCUUUUGGAGUAAAAUCCUUCUAAGAUGUCUUUUCUUGUGCUCCAGAAGUGCCCCGACAAAAUCCGAAGUAAGGUGGAGGUAGAAGACAUUCAGCUCAAAACUGGAAGAUAUGGGACACACCAGCUCUCAGUCACUUGUGGUUUGAUGCAGUUCACACAAACUCAUCUGGUCUUUGGCUGCAAGUGAAGCUUCUUUGUGCUCCCAGCAGUGAUUGCACUCGCCGGUAUUCAGAGCAAUAUGCACCCACCAGAUGGAAUUAAAACCUGGAGAUCCCCGGACAGAACUGGCACAAAUGGCACAGUCUUGGGUCACUUCUCCAUCCUGUGUAUAUUUGGGAACCUGUGUCUCAGUCCAGUGGAUGAGGGUUUGGGAUUUGCCUUGCCCAGGCAUACCCUGUGAGAUACUUCAGGUUGGAACAAUGGAAAUUUUAUAGGCUUCAAUUAACUGACUGGGCAAGAAACAACAGUUUUGCAGUAAUGAGUUCUCACUUGCAUGGAAUGCCAUUUAGUGUCUGAUCUCUCCUUGCCAAAGAGAGAUAUUAAAAUCUGUUGAUCCAGAGAGCAUUUCUAGAGUGAUGAAAAACGGGAAAAACUCUCUCAGUUUGCAGCAAUCCUCGGUUCUGUUAGUAAAAGGGUUUGUUUCCCAAGAGGGAUAUUAUAUACUAGUGAUUAUGGGGAAAAAAUGAACCAAUGCAGUUCCAAGAGAGACAGCACAGCUAAUUCUGUAUCUAAUCUUUCCUCCCACCUUGGUGGGGAUACUGGUGUAGAUGACGAAGAUGAUGGUGGUUUCUGUGAUGCCUCUCUUUAAACCCUUCAUUUUGGGAUUGCCAGUUUGAACAACAGGAAUAGAAUAUUUAUCCUUACAGCCAAAGGUAGCAGAGUGCUGUGACAUAUAUUGCCCAAGUAUAAUAUACUGCAGUCCCUUUCAUUAGGGAUUUCAAAUGCAGGCAAUGGAAGAUUCUUUUAAAGUAGCCCCAGUCACUAGAUCAAACUGGGACAAAGUCAGAAGGGAAGUACGCAAGGAAAGAGAGGUCAGAUCAGUACUGAGAAGUGGCAGAAAGGAUAGUAAAUUAGUGUUACAUGUGCUUAUGAUCAAGCAGUGGUGUAAAUUGCAACAAGAAAAUUGCAAUUUUUUUUUCUAGUCUUACUUAAAAAUGUUCCCAAAAUCCAUGACUACAGAAUCGCAGAACGCCUGAUAUUUUGUAAUGCUGCAAAUGCUGACCUUAAAAAGCACCAGAAAUCUCCCUGGGAUUUUUACCCAUUUGCAGUGGAAACAUGAGGUCUUUAAUAGUAAGAAUGUUUCAAUAACUUUCCGGGAUUUUUUCCACUUUGGCACAGCUAUUCCCUGACAGAUUGCAAGAGAGGAAUUCAGUAGUAACAGCUUGAUCCUGCAGGAUGCUAAAGCCUUUCUGCCCAGGGCUGCAUGCCCUUAGCCCUUACCUGGAGCAACUCAGCAUCUCACAGGAUUACUCAUCUUUUUGCAAUGUGGAGCCUUUCUUACCCACUUGGCCUUGCCACUGACUUCUCUAUUUCUAUUUCUGUGGAAAUGAGCCAAAACUAGUGCCAUUCUCUGAAGGGACUCAUUAGCCUUUCUGUCUAGGAAAGAGCUUAGUGUUGUCGCAGGAAAGCUGUGUAGCAAUGACACAACUUGAGAAUUUAUGCUUUAGAGAAGCAGCAUCUCGAUGCUAGAUUUAGUAACAAUGGCAGCAUAACUGAAUUGUUUAUUACAUUGUAUUAAGGUUAUGUGGAGGAAAUGUCAGGGGAAAUAGCUUCCCCCUGCCAUUUCUAAAACGAAGUAUAAACUCCAAAUGGGUGUUUAUUCUGAUUGAAUUUAACAGUUUGGGAAGCGGUGGGUUUUUUAGUUGAUUAAACAGAAAGAAAUAUGGUAGCUUUGCUACAGCUGCCAUGAUCAAUGUUAAUUAAACCCUUCAUUAAGUUAUAAAAUACGCACUAUUGCAUAAACAGUCCCUGGGCUUUUACCCAUACAGCACUAAUAGGGUCAAUGGUAAAGUUCUUGCCAGCUUCAGCAAGCCAAAGGGGUUUCAUGCUGUUCUGACCCUUCCUGGUAUUUGCUGCCUCACAGAUCAGUGUAUUGCAGAAUCCUUUGCUCUUCAAAAGAAGGCAGAAAACACGUCUUCCCUCUUUUCCUUGUCAGAACAAGGGAGAAAAGCAGGAGGCUGAAGCAAAACAAAAAUGAGCAGGGCAGGAUGAUAUUUGGUUACUUCUGGGGCAACUUAGCUGGAGUGAACUGCUCACUGGUUUUAAUACAGCUGUGGUAUUCUAUGUAAGAGGAGGACAACCCCACUUUGCACCAAGCACCCCCAGGCUGCUGCUGCUCUGCACUGGGAAUGGCUCUGCCCUCUGCAAGGUGAUGCUUUCCCCAGAAACAGACCCAAACUGCUGCACUGUGCUGGAGCUGGGAAUGGCAAUUUUGAUUUUUAGCUGGUCCGGCACCCAGAAAUCCCACCUCCUUGCAGCACAGCAUGUCGAUCAUUGCUUUGGCACCAAACUCACUGCUGCCAAAGCACAGCCAAGGGGAGAGCAGAAAGCCAGCCCCCUCCCUGGCUAGUUUUGGAAGUCCUGUAUCUUGUGCUAUAAGGGCCCCCUAGAAGAGCCUAUGCUGCAGGCAGAAAGGAUGGCCAGACCACCACGGGUGAACCAGCUGUGGUGGUAGGGAAGUGUUGACUCCCUCGGCAAGGACAAGUGAACUGGCAUUGUUUGUGUUCCCAGUGCAUAAUCAGACAGCACACCUCCAGUCACCUGCUGCAGGGAGUUUAAACUGAUCAGGUUGGUACUUUUCAGCUGCUGAAUGGUAAUUUUUUUUAAUCGCUCCAACUUGAUUGCAUGCAAUCAUCUGCCCUUCAAGGAGAAAAUGCAAGGAAGGAUGUUUUAACACUGAGGUCAACCUCUUCUAAUUACUCCUCUAGGCCUACUUUCCAAACUUCCUUUUUCACCACUGCUGAAACUCAGAUGAGCAUUUAUCCAAAUGGGAGACUGCUUUUGCUGUCCUUCACUAGCCUUUUGGUCAUUAACUAUAGGAAUUAAUGUAGGGUUUCAGCUCACACAUAUACAAAACAAAGAUAUAUAACACGAUGUUGGAUUACAGCCCACUGAAGUAUAUGUGUAACUAAAUGGGCCGUAUCCUGCAGUACUAUCAUUCCUGAGAUGGAUUUUAAAACAUAAAGCCAUGUGUAAGUAACACCAAAUGUAAGCCUUGCUUCAGUUUUGUUGUUUUAUUAUUUUCUUAAUAAAAAGCUUUUCAGAAA